This is a long non-coding RNA of Macrobrachium nipponense, 3541 nucleotides long. RefSeq lists it as uncharacterized. The transcript is spliced from 2 exons. NCBI's taxonomy places the organism in Eukaryota, Metazoa, Arthropoda, Malacostraca, Decapoda, Palaemonidae. The record is from RefSeq and is a predicted model, not a curated record.
UAAUAAAACAUUUUAUGUAGUGAGAACUUGCGAAGGUUUCAAUGUAAUACCAAUGUCACGCUGUUAACUAAAGUUGUAAAUUGCAUUGGCAUCACUAUUGUUUUUAGGUGACUCAAAAAUGCUCAUUGAGUUUUGUUUUUAUAUAGUGGCUCCACAAAGGUUUACAAAGAAUUGUACUCAUUACACUAUGAUAGGUAUUAGGAAGGCUACACUAUGAUAGGUAUUAGGAAGGCUACACUAUGAUAAGUAUUAGGAAGGAUUUUUUUUUUAGACAAACUCAGAAAUGGUACUAUAUAUGGUUUACCUUCUGAGAAUCCCAAGAAACUCAAAUAAUAGAAACGUAGCCAAAGCCACAUGCAGACAUUUGCUGGAAUUAAAUCCUUGACUGCUUGUGUGUUUGGUGUGGGGAGGUUAUAUUCAAAAUCAGGUUGUCUGAUAUUACCUAGGAUGAUCCAUUCUUUUUAUGUAUUUUUUUCAAACCAAAAUUAGUAUGGAAGGACUUUGGAAUUGAAAGAAACAGGGUUCAAACCUGCUUCUUAUGGAAUUACCCCCCCAAAACUCAGGCUUGAUUUCUUUGAAAUAAAGAACACACUGAAUGGUUUUUCCUCUCCAUUUCUUGAGGCUCUCACAAUUGUUUGUGGAUAACAGGAAUCAACUGAUCUCUUCUGAACUGCAUGUAAUGAGCCAAUUUUUCUUGGUUUAUUUCUACAACUUAGGUAUUUGGCUAGAUUUGAACUAAAUUCUUUUUCACCUUCCUUUCCCUGCAUUUUCAUUGGUGGUUCUGUUUGUAUCCCUCAAUGUUACAUAAGUAUAUGAUCAAUAAACAAGAAACUUCUAACAUUGCUUAAAGGAUGUAAUAUUUACUUAAUGUUUCUGAUUGACUUUUCUUUGGAUAUACUCAUUCCUAAACAUUUUAUUGUGUGCUGCAAAUGGGAAGGAAGGAUUAGUAAUUUUUCUCAUUUUUUCAAGAACAUAUUGAAGUUAAAUUGAACAAAAGUUUGCUGUAAAAGUCACAAAAAGAUACAUAUAGACAUUUUACUGUAAACUGUGAGGAAUCUUUAUGCAAAACAAAGAUUUGUCUACUUAGAGUUUCAUCUUGGGCUAACAGAUUUGCUUCAUGACACUUUUCAGUCCUCCUGAUAAUUGACAGUUGUCACAUUGAAAUUUGUUUUUUUUAUUUUUUUAUUUUGCAGAUUUAGUGACGGGCUUAACUUUCUUUCUAACUAUAAGUGGAGUGGAAAACAUGCUUACCAAUGUUUAAAAAUGGUAAUUUGUGGGGAUUCUGGUGAUUCCUGCCAAAGAAAAGUGUGUAUGGCUUUGUACUCUCAGGCCUAUUUGUUCAUAUACUGUACUUUCAUUCUUCUGAUAAUGACAUAGGCAGUAGAAGUGAAGAAAGGUUCUGUAAACUGAAGCAAAUAAUUUUAACAAUACAAUUGACCUUUUAAGGCAAGGAAAACAACUAUAACCUUCAAAGUUUAACAUUUUUUUGGUGCAUAAUUGUAGUUUGUUCACAGUCUCUUAAGGUUAUAUUAAAAAUCAGCGUUAUUGGACUUCAAGCAUAAACUUUAUUAAUGGUGCUAAAUUCCUCAAAUAGAGUUUUAAGAAUGAGUAACGUUCGGAUUUGUCUUAGUUUUCUGCAUUUAUUGUAUCAUUGUACCGUGUCUUCAGAGUUACUGUACGGUCAUAAUGUUGCUUUAACCUUUAAACUUUAGAUAAGCUAAAUGACACAGUCAUUCACGGUCCAGAUACUUGACAGAUAUAGUACAUAUACUAAUUGUUUUAAAGAUUGUCUUGCAUAUGGCAUAGACUCUAUUUUCUGUCCCUAACCCAUUUGAUCCCAGCAGGAGGGGGUUCACAAUCCACUGUGGUAUAGUAUCGCUGGAAAAAAAUUUCCAUAGUCAUCUAGCUACUCUUCUUGAUAAUCCUUUCCAGGAGAGAAACAUUUUUAUUAAGUUGCAGCAGCAGCCAUUACAGACCAGGGAAUGUGGACCUGAUUCUUCUGUUGAUGUAAUGGAGGGGUAUUAAUGUGAUCAAUGCCACUAUUCUCUUGACCACAGCUGCUGUAUCAUUUAUCGCUUUUUAUCAUUUAUGAGGGCUAUAAACUGGACUUGGGCUUGAACUGACUUGACUCUUUCAGCACUUUAUUUAGGAGGUUUCUUGUGUCACUAAAUUUACUGUUGGGACCUUCUUUGGUUCUAAGGUUCUGAAGAGGCUGGUAAAAACUUUCUUACUAACCCUUUUUUAGCAAGUCUCUCUUGUGAGCUGUCACCCUCCCAAUGGUUUUCCUCAUAGACUUUGCCUCUUCAAAGCAUUAUGGAGAAACUCACACUCUGGUAAGGUAACUCAAAGAACAGGGUAAUACUCUGUAAGCUUUCUGCUCACUCACAUUUUAUGGUAAAGAUGGACAACUAGUAACCAGGAUUUUAAUGCUCAUCCUUUCACAGUUCAUACCCAUCUUCACUCACUGAUAGUGAGGAUUGUUUACUCUGCCCUGUGAGAAUUGUCUCAAGAUCCAUAUUCGGGUCACCAAGAACUUCAGGAACAACUCCAAAAUGUCUCCUGUUAAACAGAUCUGAAGAACACAUUCUCCUCUAGACUGAAGCUGAUGAUCUCAGUGGUGUACUUGUGGGAGAGGAGUUUGGGUACUCCUCUUCAUCACCACUCCUCAUUCAUGGCACUGUCAAGAGACACAUAUUCAGGGUUACCAGUUACUGUAGCUCAUAUUAGUGGUAGGUGCUCUUAAUUUUCUAAUCUUGAAAGAGCCUCUUCUAUUUUAUACUAAUAUGGUUCUGUUUGUACCCUGUACAAACCUCUGGGGUACCAGGGACUUUAUUCUGAUCCCUUGGAAUAGAGUUUUGUCAACCUCCUUCCUAAAUAAAGGUUCAUGUGUAUAUGAGUAAUGGAAUUUGAUGAAAAACUAUUUAUUUAAUACAGUUUUUUAUAUAAAUCCAUUAAUUGUGUAGUGAGUAUCCUCUCUUCUUCUUGGUAUCAAUUCACAUAUGGCCACUUGAAAAGCAAGCUUGGAUUCCUCACGUACCUGUAACUACUGACAUUAGAUUGCCACCUCCUGUCUGACAGACACAAGGGUGAACCAUGGACUAUUAGGACACAAAAAUAAAGCAUCUACAUGAUCAUUGAGUCAUAAUGUUGACAUUAAAACAUAGUUUUGUCUUUUGAUUGAUUGAGUUACAACUUUUCUUUUAAUACAAUUCCACCAAGUAUUUCUAGAACUGUUUUAAUUCAUGUAUAUAACCUCAUUUAUGAGUUUUUGGAUGAAACAAAGCUAAUGAAUACUUUCAGUACUGUCCAGAAAUCAUGUAAAAAUGUAAAAUAGAAAAUAAUGGGUUACUUUUUUCUUAAAAAAUCUCCAGAUUUCCUAUGUUGGUGACGUCGAAAAUUUUUUUUAUUGCUAGAUAAUUCUUGAAUACUCAAGUUUGUUGUAGUAGGCAAGAGGAUAAACCUGUAAACAAAUGUAAAUUGUAUUGGGACAUUUCCUUUUGUUGUAAAAGCAGUGCCGGUGAUAAUAUAAGUAUGAAGCAAC